UGUGCCUGACUAAAAGCAAAACAAUGUAGCCUUAGACACUAGUAUAAUUAAAUUGUUUUCGACAUUUCUUGAAAAUAUUAUUGAGCAACGUAUAACAUAAACUUGUGUCGCAUUCGUUUUUUAAAUGUUUGAUUCUAAAUUGUGUCCAGUGCUCAUACGAAAAUUCUCUUCCCACUGAUUAACACCGACAAAUACGUUUACGUGCUGGGAUUGUUGAUGAUGGAUUGUGAAUGGAUGUGAUGGAACCCAUGGAGAAGAUACAACAGCCGACCAACUUAUACAUAGAUACAAUCUCUGUGGUUGAGCUUUCAUUAGACACAAUAAUAGUGUUGAUUGGCUUACUGAUUGGCCAACACUUCCUGACCAAAAAUUAUCAUUUAUUGAUUUCAUGUAAAGUUGCAGUGUUUUGUAAUUAGCAGCCAAUAAACUAAGCUAUUCAACCUGUCAGUCGUCUGGCCUGAGAGAGCUUCCUGUAAAGCGUUUCCUAUAGAUUCGCUUAACUGCUUAACUAAUUCAAGUCGGAACUCGCUUAAGGGAGAUUGGGGGUGGUGUACACGAGUAAUUAGUUUCUAUGAAGUGUCGUGGAGUUUCGGAAUGUAAACAGCAUAUUUCGAUUAUUUGCAUAAUUAUCAUAUCAGACUACAAUAUCAAAAGCACACUGUGGAUAUUUGGAGUGCUCUUCUCUAUGAACUGUUUUUUUUUUUUUAGACGCUUGGAAGAACGGCAACAGAAAAUCGAAUUUUUCUAAAUCAUAUUAUGUUUUACCAAAUAAGAUGCAAUCGAAUGAAUGUGCAUAUAUGUAUGUAUGUGUGUGUAUAUAAAAAUUUAGAUCUAUAAGCAUAACACUUGGAAUUUGUCUCUCUUUCGUUAUCUCUUUUGCUUCUAAGGCG
This is a long non-coding RNA of Drosophila albomicans, 890 nucleotides long. RefSeq lists it as uncharacterized. Lineage: Eukaryota; Metazoa; Arthropoda; Insecta; Diptera; Drosophilidae. The transcript has 5 exons. The record is from RefSeq and is a predicted model, not a curated record.